AACUUCUGAAUGUUGACCUCGAAUCAGGUAGGAAUACCCGCUGAACUUAAGCAUAUCAAUAAGCGGAGGAAAAGAAACCAACAGGGAUUGCCCCAGUAACGGCGAGUGAAGCGGCAACAGCUCAAAUUUGAAAUCUGGCUCUCGGGCCCGAGUUGUAAUUUGUAGAGGAUGCUUUUGGUGAGGUGCCUUCCGAGUUCCCUGGAACGGGACGCCAUAGAGGGUGAGAGCCCCGUCUGGUUGGACACCGAUCCUCUGUAAAGCUCCUUCGACGAGUCGAGUAGUUUGGGAAUGCUGCUCUAAAUGGGAGGUAUAUGUCUUCUAAAGCUAAAUACCGGCCAGAGACCGAUAGCGCACAAGUAGAGUGAUCGAAAGAUGAAAAGAACUUUGAAAAGAGAGUUAAACAGUACGUGAAAUUGUUGAAAGGGAAGCGCUUGUGACCAGACUUGGGCUUGGUUGAUCAUCCGGGGUUCUCCCCGGUGCACUCUUCCGGCCCAGGCCAGCAUCAGUUCGCCCUGGGGGACAAAGGCUUCGGGAAUGUGGCUCUCUCCGGGGAGUGUUAUAGCCCGUUGCGUAAUACCCUGUGGCGGACUGAGGUUCGCGC
Molecule: ribosomal RNA, 601 nt
Filed under: Fusarium keratoplasticum
Lineage: Eukaryota; Fungi; Ascomycota; Sordariomycetes; Hypocreales; Nectriaceae
Description: eukaryotic LSU rRNA
Rfam family: Eukaryotic large subunit ribosomal RNA
Source: RNAcentral